AUACGGAGGAUGCAAGCGUUAUCCGGAUUUAUUGGGUUUAAAGGGUGCGUAGGCGGUUUGCUAAGCGGGAGGUGAAAUGCCGGCGCUCAACGUCGGAAGUGCCUCCCGAACUGGUGGACUUGAAUGACUCUGCCGUGGGAGGAAUGUGUAGUGUAGCGGUGAAAUGCUUAGAGAUUACACAGAACACCGAUUGCGAAGGCAUCUCACGAAGGGUUGAUUGACGCUGAGGCACGAAAGCGUGGGGAUCAAACAGGAUUAGAUACCCUGGUAGUCCACGCAGUAAACGAUGAUGGCUAACCGCUGGGCUUAUCAGUUCAGUGGCCAAGCGAAAGCGAUAAGCCAUCCACCUGGGGAGUACGGUCGCAAGGCUGAAACUCAAAUGAAUUGGCGGGG
Molecule: ribosomal RNA, 393 nt
Filed under: uncultured bacterium
Lineage: Bacteria
Description: partial 16S ribosomal RNA
Rfam family: Bacterial small subunit ribosomal RNA
Source: RNAcentral